This 435-nucleotide ribosomal RNA is filed under the name uncultured bacterium. RNAcentral describes it as "bacterial SSU rRNA". It matches the Rfam family "Bacterial small subunit ribosomal RNA", at positions 89 to 518 of the family's 1533-position model. The record is from RNAcentral.
UUGAGAGUGGCGCACGGGUGCGCAACGCGUAUGCAACCAACCCCCGACGGGCGGAUAGACCGGUGGAAACGCCGGAUAAUACGCCGAUGGUUCCGAGUGAGGGCAUCCUCAUUCGGAUAAAGCCGAGAGGCGGUCGGGGACGGGCAUGCGUCCCAUUAGAUUGUAGGCGGGGUGACGGCCCACCUAGUCGACGAUGGGUAGGGGAUCUGAGAGGACGGUCCCCCACACUGGUACUGAGACACGGACCAGACUCCUGCGGGAGGCAGCAGUAAGGGAUAUUGGUCAAUGGUCGGAAGACUGAACCAGCCAUGCCGCGUGAGGGAAUGAGGCCCUACGGUCGUGAACCUCUUUUAUUCGGGGACAAGGCGGCGCACGUGAUGCGUUGUUGAGGGUACCGAAGGAAUAAGCGUCGGCUAACUCCGUGCCAGCAGCAGC